AUGUCACAUGCUCUCUCUUAUUGCCUCCUCAGUGAAUUAAAAAAAAACCCUAUACCAUCUCAUGAGACUGAUCACAUCAUGAGAUCCCGCUGCCUUUUCCUACUGAUUUACCUUCUGGGAAACUCGUUUGGAGGAUCAAGCGCUCAGAGAAAUACAUCAUGCACGACGAACGAAGCAUGUGGUCAGAUGGCAGAGCCGACACACAGUUUCCUACAGUGUGUUGGACUGCCUUCGACAGACACAGGAACAGACCAUUUGCGGAGGUUGAAAGAAAUUCUUGAAGCAACAAUGGACAUCUACACCUUCAUGCGAUCCAGCUUAAAUGGUGUGCCACUAAUGAGCCUCCAAGGAGAGCUGCUGUUAAACCCAACAGUGGACCCUCUCCGGAACGAGGCCCUCGUCCAAAUGUGGAUGGAGGUCAAAAUGAAGCCACUAUUGAAAUCUGUAACAAAAAACUUUCUCUCCUGCCUCAGCACCAAAAAUUUUAGCUGCUCCACCUACCAGACAAUGGUGAAGGAACUCAGCCACCAUUAUUCAGAAAUGAGUCCAGUCAGACAAAAGUGGAUCUACACAUUCUUUAUGUACCCUUUCCUUUCUGGAGACAGGGUUUCCGGUUGUAUGAACUCAAGUGAGAGCAGCGAGGAGUGGCUAUUAAAGAAUUUUGGUGCCUUUAGGGUCUUGGCACGAAUGACAGAUUUUUCAACCCUCAACAUGGUCUUUAGCAGGUUGGAGGUUCUUCACUUAUUGUCUGCAGCGCAAAAGGCAGAGCUGCUAAUAACGCCUGGGGUCCAACUUUUAGACAACACUACAAUAGAAGUGCUCUUCCAUAGCAUAGUGACAGGAAGUCCUGGUCAUCCUCCAACAAGCCCUACUUGGAGCAACAACUGGACGAGUCCUGGACACCCAACAAGUUUUCCCACCUUUUCUCCACAUCCCACAUAUGACGCAUACCGGCCGUCUCUUCAGAACAGCGUUGUAAAUGGAUUCAUGACAGCGCUCAAACCCAUCAGCAGCUUUGUUCAUGAUUUCAUAUCCCUGACAAAAGUCAGAGGUGUUUCUGAAAUGAAGAGCACCACUUUGACACAGUUCCUGCUCAACUGGACUCUGGCUGAACUGGCAGACUCAUACAGACCCAGAAACACAGCUUUAGUCCCUGAGAUGCCCGAGUUUGAUGUGACGAACAUGGAGGACUGGUACCAACACGUGGUGAUGCCUGUAUUGAAGAGGUUCUUGCCACAUAAAGACCCAAUGCAUCCGAACAUCACUUUUGCUUUCCAACAGCUUUUCUUUUUGGAUCAAGACAAUGAAACCACUGUAAUCCUGGAUGUCUGCAGCCUCACUCUUGAUGGAAACCCUUGUGGGCUGACUGAUGUAGUGGAAAAUGUAGCCCAUGUUUUGCGCUGCGCUGCUCAAACCGACCUAAAGUUGACAGAACAGACGCUCAUGAGGCUGGUUAUAGAGCUGACCAAACGCCUGAACGUACUGAUCAGAGAGUUGUCCAAAAUGGACCUCAAAGAGGUGGCUGACGAGCUGCAGCAGAUCUUUACUCAGGCUGAACCUCCGUCUCUGACAACGGAACACCUGGAGGACCCUGACUUCAUCCUCAAAUGGUUUGAGGUCAAGCUGAUGCCCCUCCUGCCUGCUGUGCCUCCACAACUCCUCUCCUGCCUUAGCACCAAGAACUUCUCCUGCCCUGUUUACCAAACUAUUGUGAGAGCACUCAGCACUCAUAUGGGCAAGGCAAAAGAUAAUCCAGUAUACAGUCAAAUAAUCUUCGAGAACUUCAUCUUCCCUUUCCUACUGCAUCACAACACCUCAGAUCCCCAGUGUGUAGUAGGAAACAACAGUAGACAAUGGCUGGAAGACAACUUUGCUUACUUUUCAAAGUUUGCUUUCAUCACUGACUUUUACAAACUAUAUCCACAAUUCUCUGGGGUUGAGGUCAUCCCAGUCUUGUCCCCAAAACAGCUAGCAGAGCUGAUACUGCUGCCUCUUCCUACACCACCAAAGAAAGAGGAGGUCAUUGAUGCCGUGUUUCAGUAUUUAGUUGGGACUAUGGGACCCAACUAUUUCACUGAGGUCCUCGAGAUCAUGGUGCAACUUGCUAAAGAGGUCCAUCCCACCUGUAACGUCUUCAAACAUAUCUUUACGAGACUAUAUCAUGCUGCACCAAAGGUGCCUCCAGACACAGAACCACUCAUAUGGACUACAAUAGAUGACCUGAUGAGCAUUGCACCUGAAGACUGUCUGCCUGAUAACUUAACGUGUCCAGUGAUCCAAAUCAAUGGCUCUAACAUCUGCCAAAAAGACAAGCAGGUAUCAUAUUUUUAUUUAAUACUAUAUUCAAAAUUGUUCAAAAUAUAA
RNAcentral lists this long non-coding RNA (2364 nucleotides) under Gouania willdenowi (blunt-snouted clingfish). RNAcentral's name for it is "lncRNA (ENSGWIG00000024441.1)". The record is from RNAcentral. Lineage: Eukaryota; Metazoa; Chordata; Actinopteri; Blenniiformes; Gobiesocidae.